Molecule: long non-coding RNA, 4686 nt
Organism: Micropterus dolomieu (smallmouth bass)
Lineage: Eukaryota; Metazoa; Chordata; Actinopteri; Centrarchiformes; Centrarchidae
Exons: 3
Source: RefSeq, a predicted model, not a curated record
UAACCUGUUUUUCUCUGUGCCCAGGAUCACACUACCUCCGGGAACCCUGCCGGACGCCACACCCCGCUCAGCACCUAUCUUACCUGGACUUACUCCUCUCCUCCGUGUUCUCCAUUCUGCCCUUUUGUCACCCCUUCAAACUGUACCGAGUCUGCCUUUUGAGUCAAGUUUUUGCACUAUGACAUUAACAGUUUUUGACUUAAUCGACAAUGAGCUUCAUUCAACCGCAUAUCACCUUGAAGAUUUGUACUCAGGCGAGGAAAUAGGUUCUACAAGGGAGAAUGGCAUUCCAUCAGAGCAGGUUGUAGAUCUCUCAGGAGAAGUCGGUAAGUAAGGUUACCUUAACUUUUAAUCAGUGUAUAGGUUUUAUUUAUUUACAAACUUUUACGCAGAUGUGGUAAUACACCCGCAGAUGGUGCGAGCGAAUGUGAGCAGUACUUUAUGCAGGGUCUCUCCACUACCUUUUACGAGGAGAACGCUCCGGUUCUGAAAUCGGAUCAGCCCUCGGUUUCAGUACCGCAAGCGUACAUAACACCGGGGUCCCCGGAACACUAUGAACCCGGAUGUGUCCCCGGAAUCACCCGUCCAGUCAGGCCGCAGAUGGGAGAUCACGAAAUCAUUCAUCCGGACCCAGCAGAACCGUGUACGCCGCUGAAUCAGACUGAGCCUAUACCGAUCAACGGACCUCGGAAAAGGGAACACCGUAGAAGGCUCAUUUCAACCAGCAGUAGCAGGAGCAGCAGCAGGCCACCCACAAGUACAAACAGACCCUGACGAUCCGUGAAAGGCUGUCAGAAUUGCUGUCGGACUGCCAUGAUCAACUAGUUUCAAUGAGUAAUGCUUUCCGACUAAUGGGUGAAAUGCUGGCUGUCUACAGUGAUCAUAAUUAGUAAGGUGAUUUAUCUUUUAUUUGUUUCAUUGGGUAAUUGUAUGAUUGUUUUCACUUGGUCAUUUUAAUUUAUGACGUUGAGAUUUUUUAAGGUCCAAGUGUGUUUUGAUUUUAUGAUAAUGGAUGAAAACAAACCGUUUAACCUCGUCUGAUCAGACGAGGUAGAUCAACAUUUUCAGAAUGAGUCAAACUUUCAAAAUGGUAUAACUGAAAAUAGUGUAACUGAAAACGAGACCUCCUCCAGUCAGUUCUUAGAUCAGUUGCACGCUAUAAAUCAAGCUCUCGUUGAUAUGGAACGCUUAGAAAAUGAAAUACCAACUGCUUUAUUAGAUGAAAUGAACCCUUUAACCAAAACAACAUCCCCUCUUUAAAUACAAAACGCUCUCUCCGAGCUUGAAAAUAAUGCAAUCCCUGCCUUAAUCCCCUCCACAUCCUCGGCCUACCAGACCCCCAUUAACUCCCCCCUCAUGGAGCAGGUAGCCAACACUCCUCCCUUUCAACAGCAAGGGGGUAGCACGACUCAAAAUAUUGACCCUGUGGCACCUCAAGCCACCUCAAGGAGUCAUAUCACGACAUAAAUUCUGUAAUUAUGAAAUACGCCAGGUGUUGCGCUUUCCUUCUCCAACCAAUCAGAGGGUGUAGUGGAUUAUGCUCAGUUUUACAACGGUUCACUGGAGCAGGUAGAUGCGAUUUUACAACAAGCCUUGUCACACAGGAGACCCCAAGAUGUGGUGCAGUUGGAGCUAAGAGGGGAAUUGUACAAUCUAAUUGGACCAUUAUGACAGACGGUGAUCUAGAACUGGUUCUCCAAGUGAUCACCUGCCCUACAAGGGCGGGUAAAAGAGCAAUGGUGGAUAAAAUGUCUUUCUGGGUUCCCCAUAUCUGUGUGAGUACUGUUACACAGGGUACAACUGUGUGCUGAGUCACAGAUGCCCUGCUCAUUGUUCCGUUUGCUAUGACCCUACCUGUAAUCAGAAGGGGUUUCAACGGUGUGUGUGGAGUGUAACAGGACAUGUCGUUCAGAAUUCUGCCUGACUGAUCGUUGUACAAAAAAUGUUAAAUGUGCACAGCUUUACUUCUCAGCAAUGUGUGGUGAAGGUAAACCACACAUGUCCUGCGGUGAAGUGUAAAAUCUGUGGUGAGAAUUUGACCUCUGACGUUACAGAUGAGAGUGAGAUGCAUCAGUGCUACAUCCAGACACUACCACCUGAAACAAACGCACAGAAAAAUUGGUGUUUUAUGAUUUUGAAACAUACGUCAAGGAAAAGGCGUUCACAUACCCUUUUUGGUGUGUACAAACGUUAGAUGGAGCUCUCAAGGCAGAAAUUGUGCCAACGAGUUUCUCAUGCAUUUCAGACGCCCGCUGUGUGUGUUGCUCACAAUGCUCGAGGUUUUUACUCCUACCUACUCAACGCGAUGCUUGAACAGCAUUAAAACCCUCUUUGAUUUUGCAAGGUUCAAAAGUCAUCUGUAUGACAGAUCCUGAUUUUAAUCACAAAUACAUUGACUCACUGUCCUUUCUUUCCAUGCGUUUAGCCGAUAUGCCAAAAGCUCUCGGUUUCGAUGACAGAAUUAAAGGCUAUUUUCCCCAUAAUUUUAGCUCACCUGCCCAUUUGACCUACAUAGGUCCCUACCCAGAGCCAAAAAUGUACGGUGCAGAACGCAUGACUACGGUACAGCUGAAAGACUUUAACACCUGGUACAAGACGGCGCGCUGCGGAUGCAAGCUGUUCAGAAAACAGUAUAGAUGAAACAGCGGUUGACCCGUUUAGCCGUGUGACUAUAGCAUCUGCAUGCAUGAAAGUGUUUGUGACCAACUUCCUUCCUCAAAGUUUGGCCAUCCCCGACCCCGAUAACUACACACGCUAGUUCAAAACGUAUUUAAACGCAGGCAUUCAGUGGUUGCAAUGGGUGGCAAGCACAGAAAACAUCUUCAUUCAACAUGCUUUAAAUGAGGGGGAAAAACAACUGGGAAAAUACUUUGUAGAUGGUUUUGCAGAGAUCCAAGGUGUGAAAUAUGUAUGGGAGUUUCUAGGAUGGUUUUUUCCAUGGCUGUCCGAGUUGUUUCAAAGCUCAUGAGACCAAUCCUUUGAUCGGAUACCCUUUUGAGGAGUUGCGUGCGAGGAGAAAUUACGUGAGCUACAGGCCAUCCACAAUGCUAAAGUGAUUGUCAUGAGAGAGCACACAUGGACAGAGAUUAAUCGUAAAUAACAUCAGGGGUUAAAAGAGUUUUCUCAAUCAGUAUAAAGCUCCUCAACCUCUCUCACCCCGCGAAGCUUUGUAUUAUGGUCGAACCUGUGCAGUAAAGUUGAGAGACUGUGGGUGCUAAUGAAACGGUAGACUACUUUGUGACAUCGCUGUAUCCCUAUGUCAACUGUAGCUUUCCCUAUCCUUUAGGGCACCCAAAAAUAAUCUACAAAGAUUUCAAAGAACCCCAAAGCUACUCUGGAAUAAUAAGAGCCAAAAUCUGUCCACCACAGGUUGGUUUUUUUUAUUGUGUUUUUUUUGCCAUAUAGAACUGCUGCCGGUAAACUCGUCUUCACACUCAGCCGAACGUGCACUGAACUUAAUAUUCAGGAGGGUCCAUGUCAACACAGUGGUGAGGACAGAGCGUUGACAGGGGUCUGGGUCACUGCUGAAUUUAACAAGGCCUUGGAGAUGGGGUAUCGGGUAGCUGAGAUCACAGAGUAUGACAUUUUGAUAGACUCGGUUUUUGUUCAGUACAUGCACACUUUUCUGAAGGGUAAACGGGAAGCUUCAGGUUACCCCCUGAAGCCAAAGAUCAGGCAGCCCGAGAAAAGUACAUCAAGGACUAUCUGACCAAUCAGGGUAUUUUGCUGGAUGCGUCUAAAAUUCAUCCGAAACCUGCAAAAAGACAAGUCUCCAAAUUAUGUCUCCACAUUCUGGGGGAAAUUUGCACAACGCUCGAAUCAGACACAGACUAAACUAAUCACUGACCCUGAAGAGUUUUUUAACUUUGUUUUCUGGAAUUUAUAAAGUUAAAUACUUUUCCUUUGUCAAGGACAAAACAGCAUUGUUGCAGUGGAGUUAUGGUGAGCAAUGUAUUGCCCCUCCAAACAAGGUAGACGACGUCUUUAUAGCUGCUUUCACCACAGCUUAUGGGCGUCUAAAGUUGUACAGUUAUUUGGAGCAGCUGCAGGAGAGGGUCUUGUAUUAUCUAUGUCACAAAAGAGGGGGAGAGACGGCUUGACCUGGGUAAUUACAUGGGAGAUUUGACUGAGUUAGAUGGUGAUAGCAGAAAAGAAUUUGCGGCCGCGGGUCCUAAAAGUUAUGCAUACCAGACUUGUAACAACAAAGUAGUACUUCGUGUAAAGGGAAUCCCCUCAAAUGCAUGAUUGUUGUGAACAAGUUAACUUUAACAGUGUCAAACAGUUGGUGGAGAAUUAUGUGCUAAACUCUGAUGGGGGUGUCAUUGAAACACCUCAGCACAAUAUUGUACGAGAUAAAAGGGGGUUUUUCCUUUAGAAACUCAUCAUUCCAGAAAAGGUUUAGUGUGGUGUAUGACAAGAGACGGUUACUGAGCCAAGGUCAAACCCUGCCUUUUGGCUAUUGAAGAAAAAUGUUUUCAUCCAAUGAAAUUGAGUUUGACCCUAGACUAAGAACACCUUUCUCCUGUCAAAUUGUGGGGCCAUGCGGGUCCGGUAAAACUUAUUUUGUAAAGUCUGUGUUGGAAUCAUGUCAUCGACAACAUGCCUAGUAAUAUUGUUUGGAUUUUUACUUCUUAUCAACCGAUGUACACUGAACUGCAACAGAAGAAUAAAAAGAUCAAAUUUGUC